AUUGAACGCUGGCGGCAGGCUUAACACAUGCAAGUCGAGCGGUAACAGAGAGAAGCUUGCUUCUCUGCUGACGAGCGGCGGACGGGUGAGUAAUGCCUAGGAAUCUGCCUAGUAGUGGGGGAUAACUUGCCGAAAGGUAAGCUAAUACCGCAUACGUCCUACGGGAGAAAGGAGGGGACCUUCGGGCCUUUCGCUAUUAGAUGAGCCUAGGUCGGAUUAGUUAGUUGGUGAGGUAAUGGCUCACCAAGACCGCGAUCCGUAACUGGUCUGAGAGGAUGAUCAGUCACACUGGAACUGAGACACGGUCCAGACUCCUACGGGAGGCAGCAGUGGGGAAUAUUGGACGAUGGGGGGAACCCUGAUCCAGCCAUGCCGCGUGUGUGAAGAAGGUCUUAGGAUUGUAAAGCACUUUAAGUUGGGAGGAAGAGCAGUUAACUAAUAUUUGACUGUUUUGACGUUACCGACAGAAUAAGCACCGGCUAACUUCGUG
This 490-nucleotide ribosomal RNA is filed under the name uncultured bacterium. RNAcentral describes it as "partial 16S ribosomal RNA". It matches the Rfam family "Bacterial small subunit ribosomal RNA", at positions 30 to 507 of the family's 1533-position model. The record is from RNAcentral.